ACGGGGAGGAGAACUAACAAGGAUCCCCUAGUAACGGCGAGUGAAGCGGGAAGAGCUCAAAUUUAAAAUCUGGUAAUCUUUGGUUGCCCGAAUUGUAAUCUAGAGAAGCGUCUUCCGUGCUGGACUGUGUACAAGUUUCCUGGAUACGGAACAUCAUAGAGGGUGAGAAUCCCGUCCUUGACACAGACUCCCAGCACUUUUGUGAUGCGCUCUCGACGAGUCGAGUUGUUUGGGAUUGCAGCUCAAAAUGGGAGGUAAAUUCCUUCUAAAGCUAAAUAUUGGCGAGAGACCGAUAGCGAACAAGUACCGUGAGGGAAAGAUGAAAAGCACUUUGGAAAGAGAGUUAAACAGUACGUGAAAUUGUUAAAAGGGAAACGCUUGAAGUCAGUCGCGUUUGCUUGGACUCAGCCUAACUUCGGUUUGGUGCAUUUCCUUGCAGACGGGCCAGCGUCCAUGUUGUUUACCGGAAAAGGGGUGAUAGAAUGUGGCUCCCUCGGGAGUGUUAUAGCUUUUGCUCGUAUGCGGGGAAUAAUAUGGAGUGGUACAGCACACUUUGGUGGUGCUUGUGCUGGCAUAAUGGCUUUAAACGACCCGUCUUGAAACACGGACCAAGGAGUCUAACAUGUCUGCGAGUGUUUGGGUGGAAAACCCGGGCGCGUAAUGAAAGUGAUGGCUGGGAACCCCUUCUGGGAGGCACCGGCGCCCCGAGCUGACCUUCUGUGACGCAUCGGAGGCAGAGCAUAUAUGUUGGGACCCGAAAGAUGGUGAACUAUGCCUGAAUAGGGCGAAGCCAGAGGAAACUCUGGUGGAGGCUCGUAGCGAUUCUGACGUGCAAAUCGAUCGUCAAAUUUGGGUAUAGGGGCGAAAGACUAAUCGAACCAUCUAGUAGCUGGUUCCUGCCGAGUUCUCCCCUCCCGAAGAA
RNAcentral lists this ribosomal RNA (922 nucleotides) under Clavulina cristata. RNAcentral's name for it is "partial large subunit ribosomal RNA". It matches the Rfam family "Eukaryotic large subunit ribosomal RNA", at positions 48 to 981 of the family's 3401-position model. Lineage: Eukaryota; Fungi; Basidiomycota; Agaricomycetes; Cantharellales; Hydnaceae. The record is from RNAcentral.